This 63-nucleotide transfer RNA is filed under the name Burkholderia gladioli. RNAcentral's name for it is "tRNA-Phe (AAA) (tRNA-Phe-AAA-1-1)". The record is from RNAcentral. RNAcentral also lists the same sequence under 3 other names. Lineage: Bacteria; Pseudomonadati; Pseudomonadota; Betaproteobacteria; Burkholderiales; Burkholderiaceae.
GGUUAAAUCAAAAGACAGAACUAAAGCUUCUGGACGCGGGUUCGAUUCCCGCCGUCUCCACCA